Molecule: long non-coding RNA, 1567 nt
Filed under: Anas platyrhynchos platyrhynchos (common mallard)
Lineage: Eukaryota; Metazoa; Chordata; Aves; Anseriformes; Anatidae
Description: lncRNA (ENSAPLG00000018091.1)
Source: RNAcentral
GGAAGCUGCAUGGUUUCUGAGGCACUCUGGGAGAGCAAAUGUCAACACUGUGUGGAAGAUUUAUGCCCAUUUAAAAACAAGAUUGAGGUGCUGUUAAUUAGCAGUGGGCUUUCUUCAUAUUUGUACUUAUUCCACCACUGCCUACUGCACAGCCUGGCCUGAAGCAACAGGAUGAUCACUUAUCUGAUAUAGAUAACUUGAUAAAGUGCACUGGUGGUCUUAUGUGAAGCAUGUUCUACAUUUCACAAUAUAUGAAGCUGAUUCAGCUAUGAAUAAUUUCUUCUGUUUUAACGGAUUUUUCUCAUCAUAUGGUUUGAUGGUUUUUGAUCAUCCACACUCCCAGAUAAAGAUUGAUUCUCAAAUCACACCUUUUCCAGAGUUUCAAAGACAAAACACAGAGGGGUUGUCUUGCAAAGAACAUCUACAGACAUGUCGGCUAUCUUACAGUAUAUUGCCAAGUCUCUCUUUAGAUAAGUAAAGAAACUCUACUUGUGAGUAUAAACCAUUUAAGUGAGAACAAACCAUUUAAGAGUGGGAAUGGCUGUGACAGAUCACAGCUGCUCACAUCAGUGUGGAAGCUUAUGAGAUCUUAAAAAAACAUUUGAAGGAAAACACAUUUUAUGUGGAAGCAGUGUUCACUGCUCUGUGCCGUGAAUCAAACACUGAUAAAUGGGGAUGAUUAGUAAAUUCCCUUUGAAAGCUCCAGCCUGGUCAAACCUAAAACACUUCUGUAGACAUAUGCUUUAAAGUUCCAUCUGCUGUCUAAGUCCGCAACCUUUUGAACACUCCUGACUUUUAAUGAAGCCAACAAAAACUGCUGACAUUUUUCACACACAAAAGGUGCUCGAGUCUUUGCAGCUUUGACUCAUUAGUGAACUAUUGUACACUUUUGACACCUGCAAAAAGGACACUGGAGACCACGGCAUCUUAAUUGCAAGCCAAAGCCACUACAUUCUGCUGCAGGAAGCAAUCAGAAAACUGCAAUGUAAAACAUUGUAUAAAGCUGUAAGGAGAAAGCAGAUAGGAUCAUGAUGGCUGCUGUUUACAGGACAGAACCUGUAAACGUUUAUACAUGAAUUCCAAGUUUGCCAAGAUAAAAUUGCAAUAUAUAUGAAAGAUGAGCUGAAGCCCACACACUUCCUAAAUUCCAUUGCAAGCAGAAAGGUGGGGAAAAUAGACUUUAUUGACCAUUUCUAUAUGAAAAUAAGAAUGAUUACAGAAGUUUCAAGAGACCUGGCUAUGAUAUCUCUCCAUGACUAACAACACUAAAAUUAUAUGUAUUUUAAUGUAUAUACUAUCUGUAUGUGUUUGACACACCACCAGACAAAUUCUCCAAUUUAUCUUCUUUGAGUUGCCAUACUUAUAUUUGGGAAGAAUUUGCAAAUCUGCAUAAAUAAGCUAAAUUCUGAAGUAUGCAUGCAACCUCAUUCUCUCUGCUGGACUGUCCCCCAACAUGUUUUGCUUAUGUGGACAAAAGCUAUGGUGUGACACCUGCCCAACUCCAUUCAAGAUAUCUGAAUGGAAACAAGAACAAAAAAGAGGAAAUAAAGAUGUUAAAAAAUGUUCA